AUUGAACGCUGGCGGCAGGCUUAACACAUGCAAGUCGAGCGAGCGGCGGACGUGUGAGUAAUGUCUGGGAAACUGCCUUAUGGAGGGGGAUAACUACUAGAAACUGUCGAUAAUACCGCAUCCCAUCAGAUGUGCCCAGAGGGGAUUAGCUAGUAGGUGGGGUAAUGGCUCACCUAGGCGACGAUCCCUAGCUGGUCUGAGAGGAUGACCAGCCACACGGGAACUGAGACACGGUCCAGACUCCUACGGGAGGCAGCAGUGGGGAAUAUUGCACAAUGGGCGCAAGCCUGAUGCAGCCAUGCCGCGUGUGUGAAGAAGGCCUUCGGGUUGUAAAGCACUUUCAGCGAGGAGGCGUUACUCGCAGAAGAAGCACCGGCUAACUCCGUGCCAGCAGCCGCGGUAAUUC
This 406-nucleotide ribosomal RNA is filed under the name uncultured bacterium. RNAcentral describes it as "partial 16S ribosomal RNA". It matches the Rfam family "Bacterial small subunit ribosomal RNA", at positions 30 to 526 of the family's 1533-position model. The record is from RNAcentral.